Molecule: ribosomal RNA, 436 nt
Filed under: uncultured bacterium
Lineage: Bacteria
Description: bacterial SSU rRNA
Rfam family: Bacterial small subunit ribosomal RNA
Source: RNAcentral
GGUGAACGCUGGCGGCGUGCCUAACACAUGCAAGUCGAUCGGAGCAGCAAUGCUUAGAGGCGAACGGGUGAGGAAAACGUAGUAACCAACCCUUUAGACUGGGAUAGCCACUGGAAACGGUGGGUAAUACCGGAUAAGCUCGAGAGAGGAAAGGCAGAGAAGCGCUAAAGGACGGAACUGCGCCCCAUCAGAUAGUUGGUGAGGUAAAGGCUUACCAAGUCAAAGACGGGAAACCGACGUGAGAGCGUGUACGGUCACAAGGGCACUGAGAGACGGGCCCUACUCCUACGGGAGGCAGCAGUGGGGAAUAUUGGACAAUGGGCGCAAGCCUGAUCCAGCCAUGCCGCGUGAGUGAUGAAGGCCCUAGGGUUGUAAAGCUCUUUUGUGCGGGAAGAUAAUGACGGUACCGCAAGAAUAAGCCCCGGCUAACUUCGUG